GGACGCUUCAUGGCUGCACAUAUACUAAAACUGGAACGAUACAGAGAAGAUUAGCAUGGCCCCUGCGUAAGGAUGACACGCAAAUUCGUGAAGGGUUCCAUAUUUUU
This is a small nuclear RNA of Hemiscyllium ocellatum (epaulette shark), 107 nucleotides long. NCBI's taxonomy places the organism in Eukaryota, Metazoa, Chordata, Chondrichthyes, Orectolobiformes, Hemiscylliidae. The record is from RefSeq and is a predicted model, not a curated record.